RNAcentral lists this transfer RNA (92 nucleotides) under Streptomyces griseoincarnatus. Its description in RNAcentral is "tRNA-Gly". Lineage: Bacteria; Bacillati; Actinomycetota; Actinomycetes; Kitasatosporales; Streptomycetaceae. The record is from RNAcentral. RNAcentral also lists the same sequence under 2 other names.
UCGGAGCCUGCGGCGGCUGCUGCGCCGCAGCUGCCGGCUGUGUCGGCUGUGCCGGAGGCACCGGCGGGGGGUUCCAGGCAGCCGGCGCCGGU